Molecule: transfer RNA, 85 nt
Filed under: Firmicutes bacterium HGW-Firmicutes-8
Lineage: Bacteria; Bacillati; Bacillota
Also listed under: 1 other name
Description: tRNA-Leu
Rfam family: tRNA
About the family: Transfer RNA (tRNA) molecules are approximately 80 nucleotides in length. Their secondary structure includes four short double-helical elements and three loops (D, anti-codon, and T loops).
Source: RNAcentral
GCGGAUGUGCUGGAACUGGCAGACAGGCACGUUUGAGGGGCGUGUGUCGAAAGGCGUAUGGGUUCAAGUCCCAUCAUCCGCACCA